Molecule: non-coding RNA, 3025 nt
Organism: Benincasa hispida (wax gourd)
Lineage: Eukaryota; Viridiplantae; Streptophyta; Magnoliopsida; Cucurbitales; Cucurbitaceae
Source: RefSeq, a predicted model, not a curated record
UUCCCCUUUUUUUCCCUUCCCUUUACCUUCACCCUCACGCCGCCCAAGCCCCCCUUGAAAAUUUUCUUCCUUUCCGUCGAUUGGAUCCGACCCCUUCAUCUACAUCUAUCAGCCGUCGCCAGCCGUUUGUGCCUCCAGCCAGAUGUCGCUGCUCCCCUCUCCCUCGCCCAACUGUGUUGAGGCUCAGAAGCCAGCCGUACGAAUUCAACUGUCUGCCAGAUCUGACGUUCGCCGUUCGGAUCUGAGAUGCGUCUAGCCAGCCGUUGAGCCGUUCGGGUCUGAGACGCGUCUAGCCAGUUCUAUUUGCCAAUCCAUGCUCACCAAGAGCCACCGCUCUUCAUCCGCACUAUCCAGAUUAUUAGUUGCGUGCUGCGCAGCCUUGUCCACUUUUGUAGCCAUACGUUGCCCAACCUCGACCCACGCACCGCUCAUCUAUCCAGCCUUGCAGACCUGUGUGCAGCGGUUGCUGCCAUUGCAGGUCUACCUUGCGGGUUUUCUUUCGCCACUGCUCUCGUCGGAUUUUUGAGAUUUUUUGGUGUCGGUGACGGUGAGUUCGUGUGGAGAUCAAGAGGAAUAUCAAGAGGGUCGGGAGUUUACAAAGGUCCUUUUAUGGUCGAACCACGUUAAAGACUGGUGUCUUCCUUCUUUCCCUUCUCUUUACUCUUCAUGCAUAGCAAUUUGAUCUUCAUCUUCUCAGAUCUCUCUAAGAAAAUUGACAGCAUUUCACCAUUGUUCUUCCCUCUCCCUCGAGUUCUCUGAAACAGAAAGAAUGAAAAAAGUGAGAUAGUCAUUCAAAGCUUCCAGACAAGUGAAUAUUGUAGUCUAAUCUUGGCCAUCAAUAUGUAGGGUCAAAAAGUGUUUUCACACAGAUUGUGCUUUCUGUAUAUGGUUUUAAUUCAGCUUAUAAUAUUAGCUGGUUUUCAAGUCAAAUUGGUUUUCUUAGUUUGGGCCUCGGUUGUUUCAUGGAAAAGCCCACUUCGUAUUGAAGACAACCCAACAACUAUUUUCCUCUAUGGACAUGUUAUUACAAAAGUCUUGGGGAAAAAAGUGGGAUUUGGUGUAAAUCCUCAUAAUGAAAAUAAGAAAGAAAAUGGUUGUAGAUCAAUUGAUCAAUAGCUUGAAUGUUAAAAAGAAAUCAUAAGAAAUUUCGUCGUCUGGAGAAUUCAUCUAAAAGAAGGGCUCAAUGGAGAGGCCAUAUUUGUUGUCAAAACAAAAAAGAUCCAAGUGUUGGAUUGGGUCAACCAAAUUGGAGGAAACCUUACGUUGGAGCUGACAUUGAUUGUGAAAUUUAGUAAGUCAUCGGUGCAAUUAAUUAAAGAAUGUUUCUCAAUCUAUCUAGUCAAUAAAACUUCCUCCUAGUUAGGUGAUAUGAAAAUCACAUCAGGAUGUUAGAUUUAUAAUAUAAACUCCAAUAAUUUAAUUCCCUUCUUAAAACAAAUCAUUAGUUUUUAUUUUCACUCAUGAAUUCUAGGCUUAAACUAAAGAACGUAAAAGAAAUCUCCAAGCCUGUGCUAAGAAAUAGGUUUUUAUAGAUUCUCUCAAAUAAGGAAGCUUAACAGUAAAUGUUUAGAUUAUAAGAUUUAUCUUGAGCUUCAUUAAAGUUUACUCUAGAAAGAGAAGGAAGGAAUAGCAACAUGAAGAAAUAGGAGGAGUAAGGUGUGAAAAUAAAAUGAUAGAGAGAGAAUCUUUGAUGGUUUAAAACAAACAACUAGAAACCAACAAACAAACAUAAACUAAAUUAGUUGGAGAUUGACCUUCUUUUCGACCACGAAGAAGUAAGUGAAAGUUUGUUUUGUUGUUGGGCUUAAAGAUCUGCACAAUUUUCUUCUGUAACUGUUGGAAACGGUAGGGCCCUCAGAACGACGAACUGUAAAUCAUCAAGGCAUGGUGGUCAAGCGAAGAGAAAAACCUGCAAAACAGAAACUCGUUAUAGGCUGAGUCACGGAGCCCGCUCUCUUUAAGACGUUUCAUGGCUCUGCCCAAGUGUGCAAGCAGGUCUGAAAAUUGCCACGUCGUCCCCAGGAUAAAACAGGCAAAUAAAAACUGAUCGAAAAUGCACCGUUAUCAAUCGAAACAUACACCCUUUCUAAACUCACUGCUUGGAAAGCUAAGAUGGAGAAGGAAGGGAAAUUGAAGUGGGAAUUUAGAAAAUGAAUUCUGUGUCUCACGAACUAUUGAAGGCCUCACCUUUUAUAGGUCUUCAACAUCGAAAUUGACCGUUUUAAAAUUAAUCAACGGACCGUUUUAAAAAUAAUCAAUGGACCAUUUUAAAUAGUAGUGAGAAACUCUCUAAUGCUACUGUGCUUACGACGCAUUUGACAUCUCUUUCCGUUAUAAUAACGGUUCUAAACUUUUGCGAUUGCAGUACUAUUGCAAUGGAUCAAUAUGGCUCGUAACAACUUUUCCCAUAAGGGAAUCUCUGAUAGCAGACUUCUAAGCUAGUCUGCUUCUUCACUAGCUGUCGCUAGUGCUAUCAUUUCUGACUCCAUCGUAGAUUGGGCUAAAAUAGUCUAUUUCUUGGACUUCCAAGAGAUAGCUCCGCCACCUAUAUUAAAGAUAUAGCUACUUGUAGCCUUUGAAUCAUCCGAAAGAGAGUUCCAAUCAACAUUGCUGAACCCUUCCAGGACAACGGGAAACUUUUGAUAAUGUAAUCGUAGGUUUUGGGUUUUCUUUAAGUAUCUCAUGAACCAUUCUAUAGCAUUCAAUUGCUCUUUACUAGGUCUGCUUGUAAACCUGCAAAGUAGUCUUACAGCAUAAGCUAUGUCAGGCCUAGUGCAGUCGGCAGCGUAUCUAAGACUGCCUAUGAUACUCGAAUACUCAGAUUGAUUAACACUGUCAUCAGUGUUCUUGAACAACUUGGCACUAGGGUCAUAAGAAGUACAAGCUGUUUUACACACAAAGUAGUUAUAUUUCUUUAGAAUCUUUUUUAUAUAGUGAGAUUGAUCCAAAGAAAUUCCCUUUUCAGACCUAUUUACUUUUAUGCCUAAGAUUACACUAGCUUCUCCUAAGUCUUUCAUGUCGAAGU